AGGCCUACCACAUGCAAGUCGAGGGGCAGCACAUGCGUAGCAAUACAAUGGUGGCGACCGGCGCACGGGUGAGUAACACGUAUGCAACCUACCUUCAACAUUGGAAUAACCCGUUGAAAGACGGACUAAUACCGAAUAAAACAGGGGCACCUCCUGGUGAUAUUUGUUAAAGAUUUUAUCGGUUGAAGAUGGGCAUGCGUAUGAUUAGCUAGUUGGUAAGGUAACGGCUUACCAAGGCAACGAUCAUUAGGGGUUCUGAGAGGAAGGUCCCCCACACUGGUACUGAGACACGGACCAGACUCCUACGGGAGGCAGCAGUGAGGAAUAUUGGUCAAUGGGCGAGAGCCUGAACCAGCCAAGUCGCGUGAAGGAAGACUGUCCUAUGGAUUGUAAACUUCUUUUGUACAGGAAUAAAGUCAGUCACGUGUGAUUGUUUGCAAGUACUGUACGAAUAAGGAUCGGCUAACUCCGUGCCAGCAGCCGCGGUAAUACGGAGGAUCCGAGCGUUAUCCGGAUUUAUUGGGUUUAAAGGGUGCGUAGGUGGAAUAAUAAGUCAGCGGUGAAAGUUUAGAGCUUAACUGUAAAAUUGCCGUUGAAACUGUUGUUCUUGAGUGCAAAUGAGGUAGGCGGAAUGUGUCGUGUAGCGGUGAAAUGCUUAGAUAUGACACAGAACUCCGAUUGCGAAGGCAGCUUACUGGGAUGCAACUGACACUGAGGCACGAAAGCGUGGGUAUCAAACAGGAUUAGAUACCCUGGUAGUCCACGCAGUAAACGAUGAAUACUAGCUGUUUGCGAUAUACAGUAAGCGGUACAGCGAAAGCGUUAAGUAU
Molecule: ribosomal RNA, 830 nt
Filed under: uncultured bacterium
Lineage: Bacteria
Description: bacterial SSU rRNA
Rfam family: Bacterial small subunit ribosomal RNA
Source: RNAcentral